Molecule: ribosomal RNA, 245 nt
Filed under: uncultured bacterium
Lineage: Bacteria
Description: partial 16S ribosomal RNA
Rfam family: Bacterial small subunit ribosomal RNA
Source: RNAcentral
UACAGAGACCUCAAGCGUUAUCCGGAAUCAUUGGGCGUAAAGCGUGCCGAUAGGUGGUUUGGCGAGUUUUUCGUAAAAUCCUUCCGCUUAACGGGAGAACCGCGGAGAAUACUGCCAGACUAGAGGGGCAAAGAGGUGCUUGGAACGAAUGGAGUAGCAGUGAAAUGCGUUGAUAUCAUUCGGAACACCAAAAGCGAAGGCAGAGCACUGGGUGCCACCUGACACUGCUAGGACGAAAGCGUGGG